This 1312-nucleotide non-coding RNA is filed under the name Cryptosporidium parvum. Lineage: Eukaryota; Apicomplexa; Conoidasida; Eucoccidiorida; Cryptosporidiidae. The record is from RNAcentral.
GUUAAUCUUUUUAAGUUUUCCAUAAUUCAAAACUAAAACCAAACCAAUCAAGAAAACUAUGAAACCAUGACCUACAUCACCAUACAUAAUACCAAAAAGGAAUGGGAAUGAAACUAAAGUGAAUAAAGCUGGAUUCACUUCUUGGUAUCUUGGAAUACCAUAAGAAUUUACAAAGUCCUGGAAUGCAACAGUAAAAUCGUUAGUCUUAAUAUAUGUUGGAGGUGUGUUGGAUAUAUUUGCCUCAUCAUCAUGUGAGCCACCUUCUGAAAUAUGGAUUCCAGCUACUCCAUGACCUCCACUUGAUGUAUUAGUCAGUAAAAAUGCUCCAACAUGCUGAGUGCUACUUUCAGCUAUCAAAAUCUUUCUAAUCUUUUCCUCCUCUUCUGUUGGAUACCAACAAUCAGCUCUUAGUGUUAUAUCUGACCCUUCAAAUAAGUUCAAUGUUGCAUAAAUGGAUUUCUCCUUAAUGCAAAAUAAUCUCCAUUCCUCUAUUAAUGAGUUUCCAUUAUUUGAGUUAACUGGUUGAAGUAAAGUCUCAAUCUCAAGAGUGAUAUAUUGUUCAUAAGCUUGAAGUGCUUUUUCCUUAUCUUGGAUUAAAGUAUUAAGUUCACUAAUUCUUUGAAUUGCAUGUUCAUAGCUUGAUGGCCAAGGAUAAAUCGAUACAUUGAAUGCAUCACAAAUUCUACUAAUCUUAUCAUAAACUGCUGAAGUUGUUGCACCUUGGAAGUAAAUUACAAAAACUACCUUCUGAACAUCUUUACUUGUUUUUGGAUCCAUAAUAUUCUCAGCUAUUGAUUGGAAAUGGGUAAAUGUGUUACCUCUUGUGGCUCUAAAAAGAGCUCUAGCAAAUUUCUCUUGAUCUUCAUGUUUCACCACUCCAGCAAUACUACUGAACAUCAUAUCUCCAAAUCCGGAAACAUUAUUAAUUCCAUCCAUAAUACCUGGAUUCAUUAAAGGAGAUGAUGGUGUGGGAUUUCCUCCAUGCAUUCCACCCUCCCCUCUUUCCACUGCGUUUGUCAUGUAAAAGUCACUAUUUGAUCUUUCAUUGUUGUACAUUGAUAUUGGAGCAAAUGAAAGGCUUGCUGCUUUUGCUACAGCGCAUUCCUCAAUUGCAGAACUUUUUUGGUGGAUUAAAUCUGCAUUAUUAUCUCUAAAACUGAUAAAUUGGCCAUAUAAACUUUGAAGAGAUUCUUCUACUUUAUCUAAUUGAUAAACAUGAUCAUGAUCCAAAAAAUUCUCAUAAUUCCCUUUUAAUACUUUCACAUCUGGGAGUUUCUCAAUCUCAGAAAAUAGUACACGAAGUAUACGUUCC